This 22-nucleotide non-coding RNA is filed under the name Arabidopsis thaliana (thale cress). Lineage: Eukaryota; Viridiplantae; Streptophyta; Magnoliopsida; Brassicales; Brassicaceae. The record is from RNAcentral.
UUGAAGUCCACUACCACAUGUC